GCAUCGAUGAAGAACGCAGCGAAAUGCGAUAAGUAAUAUGAAUUGCAGAUUUUCGUGAAUCAUCGAAUCUUUGAACGCACAUUGCGCCCUAUGGUAUUCCAUAGGGCAUGCCUGUUUGAGCGUCAUUUCUCUCUCAAAUCUUCGGAUUUGGUUUUGAGUGAUACUCUUAGUCAGACUAAGCGUUUGCUUGAAAUGUAUUGGCAUGAGUGGUACUAGAUAGUGCUGAACUGUUUCAAUGUAUUAGGUUUAUCCAACUCGUUGACCAGUAUAGUAUUUGUUUAUUACACAGGCUCGGCCUUACAACAACAAACAAAGUUUGACCUCAAAUCAGGUAGGACUACCCGCUGAACUUAAGCAUAUCAAUAAGCGGAGGA
RNAcentral lists this ribosomal RNA (374 nucleotides) under Dujonia zeylanoides. Its description in RNAcentral is "eukaryotic LSU rRNA". The stretch from base 1 to 125 matches the Rfam family "5.8S ribosomal RNA", at positions 30 to 154 of the family's 154-position model. Lineage: Eukaryota; Fungi; Ascomycota; Pichiomycetes; Serinales; Debaryomycetaceae. The record is from RNAcentral.